CAAUAGCGUAUAUUUAAGUUGCUGCAGUUAAAAAGCUCGUAGUUGGAUUUCGGGUGGGAAUGGCCGGUCCGCCGUUUCGGUGUGCACUUGCUACGCCCACCUUGCUGCCGGGGACGUGCUCUUGAGUUCACGCUCGGGACACGGAGUCGGCGAGGUUACUUUGAGUAAAUUAGAGUGUUCAAAGCAGGCCUACGCUCUGGAUACAUUAGCAUGGAAUAACACGAUAGGACUCUGGCCUAUCUUGUUGGUCUGUAGGACCGGAGUAAUGAUUAAGAGGGACAGUCGGGGGCAUUCGUAUUUCAUUGUCAGAGGUGAAAUUCUUGGAUUUAUGAAAGACGAACUACUGCGAAAGCAUUUGCCAAGGAUGUUUUCAUUAA
RNAcentral lists this ribosomal RNA (377 nucleotides) under uncultured eukaryote. Its description in RNAcentral is "partial 18S ribosomal RNA". It matches the Rfam family "Eukaryotic small subunit ribosomal RNA", at positions 592 to 976 of the family's 1831-position model. The record is from RNAcentral.